GGCCAAGCAAGGGGACUCCGAUGCCGGGGCGUAGGGGGGUUUGGGUCAAAGGAUGGGGGCAGAGUUCAAAGUGCAGGGGGCGGGCUCGUUUAAUGGCGAAGUCCUGGCACCGCGCCCCAGGGAGGAGGCUCCGGAGGCCAGUGGAACCCCGCUAGACUUCAGGGGUCUUGGUUGGGGACGCGGGGCGUUUUGACCCCCUAGGCCUGAGGAUCCUAGGCCUGAGUAACCCAUCGGAUUUGGAGGGAAGGGUGGGGUUUAGGUGAAAUGUAAAUACUGCGUGGUUUCCAUUUGGCAAAGAGCAAGCUUGUAAAGGGGUCACCCUCGGGUCUGGGCUGCGAAGUGCAGCCGGGACCUGUUUCCUUGGGAACCACAAGAUAAGACCGCUGUAGAUUGUUAUGUCCGGAAACCGCUUAUCAGAGCCCUGCACCUGGGUUGGAAAUGGAGACGGAUUCUCUGUGUCCAAGAAAAUCAGACCCUCCGGCCGGAAAAGGGAAGUUUAUUCUUACUGAUAAAAUGUCAAUCACUGUGUAUGAUUGUAAUGGGCAAGGAAGGCAUUUAGCGAGCUAGAAGACAUUGAUGGCUCAGAAAAAGGUGUCCUUGGCAAAAAUACUGUUUUCUGUUAAUUUUCCAACUGAUACCAUCUGGGUCUGUCCUCCCAGCCUGAUGAAUGUGUAGGCAGAUACUUUCUCAGUCGGAGUUGAUUUUUAUUAUCUUGAUUGCUGCAUCCUGUGCACAGAGGUUUUCUGCUCAGCUGGGCUUCAUCCUGGGGUCCCAGUCCUGGCCCCAAGCCUUAAUCAGCUCUCGGGUGAUAUUAGGCAAGUUGCCAAGCCCCUAAGUGCCUCAGUUUCCAGGUCUGUAAAAUACAUAACAUUACCUGCAUUUGUCAAAUAGUGCUGUGUGUGGAUUAUUAUUGGCAGCUCAUCAUCACCAUUAUCACCCUCCUGUAAACGUCUUGGACCCCUUAAGUGAAGACAGCAGGGUUACGGCGGAUAAAAUGAUGGACUUCAGAGAAAAGACUCUAAGACCAAAUAGAGUCUAAAGCAGUGAUUAUCAAAGAGGGGAGGAGAAAUUUUACGCCCAGGGGACACUGGACAAUGUCUGCAGACUUGGUUGUCACAACCGGGGAUGGGGUUGGGGCGACUGGCAUCCAGUGGAUGAGGAGGUCUAGGGUGCUGCUCAACACCCUGCAAUGAAUAGCACGCCAGUCUUUUGGAUUUGAGCCCACCUUAAUCUCAUUUUAAUCGAAUUGCCUCUUUAAAGGCCUAUCUUCAAAUACCUUCUGAGGUACUGUGGGUUAGGCCUUCACCUUACGGAUUUGUGGGGACGCAAUUCACCCGUUAACGCUAUACAUACACAAAAAUUCAUAGACUACACCUCAAAAGAAAAAUUCAACAUGACCAUAUAAUACUAUAAAAUAAAAGAAGAUGCAAUACCUGGUUUGGGGUUGGAUCUUCGGAGGACCAGCUGUAAAGACCAUUUGGGGUAUAAUUGAAGGAAAUACGAUUAUGGGCUAGGUAUAAAGGAAUGAUUGUUAACUAUCUAAAGUGCGAAUAUGAAGUGUGGACUUUUAGAUAAAAAUACAGAUUUUUCUCUAAAAUAGCAUUUGGGAGGUGUUUAAGAGCAGAGUGUUACAGUGUCCUCAAUUUACUUUUUUUUUUUUUUUUGAGACGGAGUCUCGAGCUGUCGCCCAGGCUGGAGUGCAGUGGUGUGAUCUCGGCUCACUGCAGCCUCCACCUCCCGGGUUCAAGUGAUUCUCCUGCCUCACCCUCCCGAGUAGCUGGGACUACAGGUGCCCGCCACCACACCCAGCUAAUUUUUGUAUUUUUAGUAGAGAUGGGGUUUCACCAUCUUGGCCAGGCUACUCUUGAACUCCUGACCUCGUGACCCGCCUGCCUCGGCCUCCCAAAGUGCUGGGAUUACAGGCGUAAGCCACUGCCCCCAGCCACUCAAUUGACUUUGAAAUAAUUCUUUUUUUUUUUUUUUUUUUGAGACAGAGUUUUGCUCUGUUGCCCAGGAUAGAGUACAAUGGCGUGAUCUCAGCUCAACGCAAGCUCCGCCUCCUGGGUUCACGCCAUUCUCCUGCCUCAGCCUUCCGAGUAGCUGGGACUACAGGCACUCGCCACCACGCCCAGCUGAUUUUUUGUAUUUUUAGUAGAGACGGGGUUUCACCAUGUUAGCCAGGAUGGUCUUGAUCUCCUGACCUUGUGAUCCGCCCAACUCGGCCUCCCAAAGUGCUGGGAUUACAGACGUGAGCCACCGCACCCUGCGACUUUGAAAUAAUUCUAUGUAGAUAUUGGCUGUCAGUCGGCUAGAACAAUUGAUCAGGAAACAUCUCUGUCUUCACAAAUUACCUGAUAUGUUGAGUAAUGUGAGUAUAACACGAAUUUCAUAUUUGUUUAUGUUCAGUUUCAACCCUAAGAAACACUAAGUGAACAGAAGAAAUUGCACAUAACUGAAGAGUCUGGUAGGAAAACAGAAAAUGCGCGCACACACCUCAAAUACCAAGUCACACUGUUUCCUCUGCUUUAAAACUUAACAUUAGAUUUCCGACAACCCUCUCUCCACCACUGCAUACUAACUCUGGAAAUUUAGAUUCCCUUGCCCAAUUCCACAAGCAACCUUU
Molecule: long non-coding RNA, 2623 nt
Filed under: Homo sapiens (human)
Lineage: Eukaryota; Metazoa; Chordata; Mammalia; Primates; Hominidae
Description: non-protein coding lnc-ZNF77-2:2
Source: RNAcentral